RNAcentral lists this transfer RNA (97 nucleotides) under Didymella glomerata. RNAcentral describes it as "Peyronellaea glomerata tRNA". It matches the Rfam family "tRNA". Rfam says of the family: Transfer RNA (tRNA) molecules are approximately 80 nucleotides in length. Their secondary structure includes four short double-helical elements and three loops (D, anti-codon, and T loops). Further hydrogen bonds mediate the characteristic L-shaped molecular structure. tRNAs have two regions of fundamental functional importance: the anti-codon, which is responsible for specific mRNA codon recognition, and the 3' end, to which the tRNAs corresponding amino acid is attached (by aminoacyl-tRNA synthetases). tRNAs cope with the degeneracy of the genetic code in two manners: having more than one tRNA (with a specific anti-codon) for a particular amino acid; and 'wobble' base-pairing, i.e. permitting non-standard base-pairing at the 3rd anti-codon position. Lineage: Eukaryota; Fungi; Ascomycota; Dothideomycetes; Pleosporales; Didymellaceae. The record is from Rfam by way of RNAcentral.
GGGCAGAUGGCCGAGUGGUCUAAGGCGCUGCGUUUAGGACAUUUCUAAACAUCCUCCGCAGUCAGUAAUGGCGUGGGUUCGAAUCCCACUCUGCUCA